Long non-coding RNA from Pristis pectinata (smalltooth sawfish), 971 nucleotides. RefSeq lists it as uncharacterized. NCBI's taxonomy places the organism in Eukaryota, Metazoa, Chordata, Chondrichthyes, Rhinopristiformes, Pristidae. The transcript is spliced from 2 exons. The record is from RefSeq and is a predicted model, not a curated record.
GAGGAAUCUGACAGGACAGGACAGCGGACCAUGGAAUAAAGGGAACCGGGAAGGAGGUGGGCAGGAAAAAGAGGGGAGGGGUUACUGGACCUUAGGUUGAUGCUGUCAGGUUGGAGACCCCCAAGGCGGAACAUGAGGUGUUGCUCCUCCAACCUGCGUCUGACCUCAACGUGGCAGUAGAUGAGGGUCUCUCCUACCAGAGUCGUCCUCCUCCAGCCCUCUGCCUCUUUCACCUGUCACCUCCCCCCUCACCUGGACUCACCUGUCACCUGCCCGCAUGUGCUCCUCCGCCUCCCCCACCUCCUUAUUCCGGCUUCUGCCCCCUUCCUCUCCAGUCCUGAUGAAGGGUCUCGGCCCAAAUUGUCAACUGUUUAUUUCCCUCCGCGGACGCUGCCUGACCUGCUGAAAUGUCGCCUGGUGUAUAAUUUGCUGUGUUCAAAAUUUGUGGUUUGAUUUACUGUGGGUGCACUUUGUUUACCCUCUGCACAGGAAACUAUGAUAUUGUGGUUAAAAUUAUUUAUAAAAUGAUUAUUUUGUAGAUACUAUUAAAAUGUAUUAUCUUUGUGAAAUGUUGCAUUGAGUCUGUGCAGUGUGUGUGCCAGCCGUCACUGUGACAAGUCCUGUGUAUCAUGUGUACACAACUGUGUGUGAGCUGUGUACACAACUCGCACCCCACUCUGGGCCAACAUCCAGACUUGGACAGGUAAAUAUUCCGAUAUCACAAUCCAGAGAUAUUCUGCACACACUGUUGCUGGAUCGGUUGGGACUGUGCCUCAGCCUCCGUGUUCCUGACUGCCUGUUACCAGUCUGCCCCAGUGCUGUGUUCGGAUCCACUCAUUCUCUGCUCUGUCUCAGCAGUGGGGAGGGACGUUUAUUGUAUUCUUUGAAUAUAUGAUGAUGAGAAUUUUUAAAGUUUAAUACUUUGUGAAAAGUGAGAAAAACUUGAAUCUACAAAUAAAAAUUAAAGUUAA